GACGAACGCUGGCGGCGUGCCUAAUACAUGCAAGUCGAGCGGACUUUCAAGAAGCUUGCUUUUUGAAAGUUAGCGGCGGACGGGUGAGUAACACGUGGGCAACCUGCCUGCAAGACGGGGAUAACUCCGGGAAACCGGGGCUAAUACCGGAUAAUAUCUUCCUUCGCAUGAAGGAAGGUGGAAAGGCGGCGCAAGCUGCCGCUUGCAGAUGGGCCCGCGGCGCAUUAGCUAGUUGGUGAGGUAACGGCUCACCAAGGCGACGAUGCGUAGCCGACCUGAGAGGGUGAUCGGCCACACUGGGACUGAGACACGGCCCAGACUCCUACGGGAGGCAGCAGUAGGGAAUCUUCCGCAAUGGACGAAAGUCUGACGGAGCAACGCCGCGUGAGCGAAGAAGGUCUUCGGAUCGUAAAGCUCUGUUGUCAGGGAAGAACAAGUACCGUUCGAACAGGGCGGUACCUUGACGGUACCUGACCAGAAAGCCACGGCUAACUACGUG
This 499-nucleotide ribosomal RNA is filed under the name uncultured bacterium. Its description in RNAcentral is "partial 16S ribosomal RNA". It matches the Rfam family "Bacterial small subunit ribosomal RNA", at positions 28 to 507 of the family's 1533-position model. The record is from RNAcentral.